Molecule: long non-coding RNA, 2572 nt
Filed under: Zostera marina
Lineage: Eukaryota; Viridiplantae; Streptophyta; Magnoliopsida; Alismatales; Zosteraceae
Description: long non-coding RNA (ZMAR_LNC003342)
Source: RNAcentral
CAAAAUAUUGAUGGAACCCUUGCAUUUUUUGUUUAAAUUUUGAUAACUCAGUGUUUCCACCAACACCACUCUCACCUAUGAAUGAAGAUAUUACUUAUAUUAGUUAUAUAUAUACAUGUAAUUAGUAUAUGUGUAAUGAUGAAAUUAUAGAAUGUAUACCAGUCGGUACUAAUUGUCCGUUAUUUCCAUAUUUCAAACUAUAUUCGUCGUAGAGAUAUUGCAUCACAUUUUUUAUAUCAGUUACAUUAGUAUUCGAGCAUUCCUCUCCAUAGAGUAUAGUGGUGUAUUAUUUUACCAUUUCCAUCUAAAAAUUAACAAUUAAAAAUUCAUAUUUUAAAAUAGAAAUUGUAAUAUUAAAAUUGUAAAACUAAUUACUAUAGCGUGGAUCCAAAAUUGAUGCAAUUGAUAAGAUUGUGUUAAUCAUUCCCCAAUACUUAUCAAACUUGAUCUUCGUCACUUUGUCAAUUUCUUGAAUUAAAACGUCAUCAUGAUUUAUAAACUCAUUCAAUUUUAAAUGACAUUCACACAACAAAGGAAAGUAUUGAUUGGCCGUAGGAUGAAUCGACAUAGAAAAGGUUUGGGUGACAUUGAAAAAUAAACCAAAACAUUCUGUAAGCUGAGAUGCUACAUUCCAGUCUUCCUCGGAUGGUUUGUAUGUGUAUGAUUUAUCUAUAAGAGCAUAUCUGUUGAAGACUUCUUUGAAUUUAAUUGCUGUUUCCAACAUGAGAUACGUUGAGUUCCAACGAGUAUCAACAUCUAAGACUAAUUUACUCUUUGGAACACCUAUUUGUAUUGCCAACUCCGUAAAUCGUGUUUGUCUUAUUGUCGAAGAUCUGACAUACCUCACACUUUUUCUGAUUUUCGACAUCACGUCGUUAGUAUGUUUCACAGCCUCUUGCACUAUUAAAUUAAUAAUGUGUGCCGUACAUCGAACAUGUAAGAACUGUCCAUCUAACACUAGAGAUCUUGGAGGUAAACUUUUCUUGAUAUCUUUAAUUACGGCAUCAUUAGUAGUACAGUUGUCCAGGACGACACACAUUAUUUUUUGAUCCACGUUCCAUUUGACAAAUUUUUACAUAAGAGCUGCUGAUAUUGUCUCUGCUGUGUGUGGACAAUCAACUUCGAAAAAAUUUAAUAUUCUCUUUUGCAAUUUCCAAUCAGAAUCGAUAUAAUGUGUUGUUAAUGCACAAUACCCUUUAUUUUGAAUGGACGUCCACAUAUCACUAGUGAAUGAUAUAUGUGACAAUUCAAAGACCCUAUAGUUUCAUACAACUUGAAUUUUUCACUAUCAUACAAGAGACAACAGUCACUCUUGAGAGUACAUCUAGAGAUCAUCUUAAAUUGGGGUUGUAGUGAAGAUAUAAAUUUUCUAAAGCCAUGAUGUUCAACGAUGGUGAAUGGGUAUUCAUGUAGCAUCACCAUAUUAGCUAAGGUCAAUCUAUUAUUAGCUUGACUAAAUUUAUAGUUUCUGAUUUCUUGACCUUGUUGGCUACAAUUCAACAUCAUUUGAGUUAUAUGAUUAUUUUUCUUAGAAGGAUGUCGUCUUUCUAAAUGUUUUCUAAGAUGAGUAGUGCCAUCCUUUGGUUUGGCAACAAACAUAGAUUUACAAUGCAAGCAUCUAGCUUUGCGAACAUCACCGACCAUAAAUGAAUCAAAAUCUUUCCAAACAUCGGACUUUAAUUUGCUCUUUAAGUCACUAACAUCUUGCUUUUCUUGACAUGAACUAAAAUAAAAAAAUUUGUAGAGUUGUAUUUGUAUACUUAUAUAAUUGUAGAAUUGUUAUUUGUAUAAUAAGUAAUAAAUCAAUUGUACCUUGGAGUGACCGGAGUCGUUGUCGUUGUUUCUUCCGUUUGUGUUGGAGUAUCCAUUAGUGUGUGUAUCCAUAAGCAAACUGAAAUACAUAAUAAUUAAAAGUUAAUACUAAAUAAUUACAUAAAUACGUAUUGAAAUAAAUGAAUAAACACAAUUGAAUAAACAAAAUAAUGUCUAUUACAAUCAGCAAGAUAGCAACUCAAUAAUGUCAUAUUACUUUGUAAUUAAUUUAACUAUAGUCAAAAUAGUAAAUAAUUUAUCAGUCAUCAAUUCAUUAUCAACUAUCAACUAUCAAAUUUAAUCAAGUUUUUAAUUUAAAAUGAUUCUAAUUUCCAUGUGGACAUUUGGUAAGGUAUAUAUGUAUAAGCAUUAUAAUUUCAAGUUUCCAAUCUCACUUUAAUAAAACGCAAACUAUAGGCAGUAAUCUAGUAUAGUGGGCAGUAAUUUCAAGUUUCCAUGUGGAAAUAUUUGGGGACGAUGAUUUGGGUCAAUGUGGUUUUACAUAUGUUUGUGAGAUUUAAAACAUUCUAAGAUUUAAAGGGCGAGACGAAAAAGGAAAGUGGAGAUCGUAGGUGGAUUUGCGUAUCGAACCAAAGAGAUUAGUCGGUUUAUUAUAGACCUAUUAAUUUGAAACAUUUAAAUCAUUUAAAACAUUCUAAGAUUUGGGUCUUACCUGAUCAAAAUCUCCCCUAGGUUACAGUGAACUGCUGCCCGUCAAUGAACUCCUCGGUGUUGGCAAGUUGGAGGAGAUAUUAGGUUU